This 505-nucleotide ribosomal RNA is filed under the name Loxoglypta compta. Its description in RNAcentral is "partial 16S ribosomal RNA". It matches the Rfam family "Bacterial large subunit ribosomal RNA", at positions 1796 to 2604 of the family's 2925-position model. The record is from RNAcentral. Lineage: Eukaryota; Metazoa; Mollusca; Bivalvia; Cardiida; Tellinidae.
UCGCCUGUUUAUUCAAAAACAUGGCUUCCUGAAUUUUUAGUAAGGGGGGUCUGGCCUGCCCGGUGGGGGAAACUCUAAACGGUCGCAGCUGCCACUGUGCGAAGGUAGCGUAAUAGGUCGUCCUUUAAUUGAGGGAAAGUAUGAAUGGUCGGAUGUUGGAAAAGCUUUAUUAUAUAUAGAAAUUGAAUUUUACUUCUCUGUGCAAAGGCAGAGAUUAAAUUAUUAGACGAGAAGACCCUGUUGAGCUUAGUAAGUUAAUUUUAUAGUCUAAUGUUAGCUAUGUUUUUUCGGGGCUGAAAAGAAGGGAUGGAAAUGCCUUCUAGGUUAAAGUAAGGAUCCAGUAUGGCUGAUAAGUGGAAGAUAGCUACCACAGGGAUAACAGCGCAAUCUUCCUGAUAAGACCCUAUUUAAGGGAUGGUUUGCGACCUCGAUGUUGAAUCAGAAUACCUAUUAGGUGCAGCAGCUUAGUAAGUGGGACUGUUCGUCCUUUAAAAUUCUACGUGAU